GAUGAACGCUGGCGGCGUGCCUAAUACAUGCAAGUCGAACGAAGCUUUUUUAACUGGUGCUUGCACCGACUUAAACAACUGAGUGGCGAACGGGUGAGUAACACGUGGGUAACCUGCCCCAAAGCGGGGGAUAACAUUUGGAAACAGAUGCUAAUACCGCAUAACCACAGAAACCACAUGGUUUCUGUGUCAAAGAUGGUUUCGGCUAUCACUUUGGGAUGGACCCGCGGCGUAUUAGCUAGUUGGUAAGGUAAUGGCUUACCAAGGCGAUGGUACGUACCCGACCUGAGAGCUUGCUCCGCCACAGGGGGACUUAGCCACGGCCCAGAAUCCUACGGGAGGCAGCAGUAGGGCAUCUUCCACAUUGGAAGAAAGUCCGAUAGAGCAACGCCGCGUGAGUGAAGAAGGUUUUCGGGUCGUAAAACUCUGUUGUUAGGGAAGAACGUGUGCGAGAGUAACUGUUCGUGCAGUGACGAUACCUGGCCAGAACGCAACGGCUAACUACGUGCCAGCCGCCGCAGUAA
RNAcentral lists this ribosomal RNA (524 nucleotides) under uncultured bacterium. RNAcentral's name for it is "partial 16S ribosomal RNA". It matches the Rfam family "Bacterial small subunit ribosomal RNA", at positions 28 to 523 of the family's 1533-position model. The record is from RNAcentral.